AAACCAUGAUGAGGACACUCUAAGAGAAGAUCCUUAAAACGUUCCAUACACCUAGAAAAUGAUUCACUGGGUUUUUGACGGAACUGGAGAAUGUCGUUCCUAAGUUU
Cephalotus follicularis is the source of this 107-nucleotide small nucleolar RNA. It matches the Rfam family "Plant small nucleolar RNA R71". From Rfam's summary of the family: R71 is a member of the C/D box family of snoRNAs containing the C (UGAUGA) and D (CUGA) box motifs. Multiple nearly identical copies of this snoRNA have been identified in Arabidopsis, and it is thought to function as a 2'-O-ribose methylation guide for 18S ribosomal RNA. The record is from Rfam. NCBI's taxonomy places the organism in Eukaryota, Viridiplantae, Streptophyta, Magnoliopsida, Oxalidales, Cephalotaceae.